This 608-nucleotide ribosomal RNA is filed under the name uncultured bacterium. Its description in RNAcentral is "bacterial SSU rRNA". It matches the Rfam family "Bacterial small subunit ribosomal RNA", at positions 70 to 676 of the family's 1533-position model. The record is from RNAcentral.
AACAUGUCUAGCUUGCUAGAUGAUGUCGAGUGGCGGACGGGUGAGUAAUACUUAGGAACAUGCCUUUGGGUGGGGGAUAACUAUUGGAAACGAUAGCUAAUACCGCAUGACGUCUACGGACCAAAGGGGGCUUCGGCUCCCGCCCAGAGAGUGGCCUAAGCGAGAUUAGCUAGUUGGUGUGGUAAAGGCGCACCAAGGCGACGAUCUCUAGCUGUUCUGAGAGGAAGAUCAGCCACACUGGAACUGAGACACGGUCCAGACUCCUACGGGAGGCAGCAGUGGGGAAUAUUGCACAAUGGGGGAAACCCUGAUGCAGCCAUGCCGCGUGUGUGAAGAAGGCCUUCGGGUUGUAAAGCACUUUCAGUUGUGAGGAAAGGUUGGUGGUUAAUACCCAUCAGCUGUGACGUUAGCAACAGAAGAAGCACCGGCUAACUCCGUGCCAGCAGCCGCGGUAAUACGGAGGGGGUUAGCGUUGUUCGGAAUUACUGGGCGUAAAGCGUACGUAGGCGGAUCAGAAAGUAGGGGGUGAAAUCCCGAGGCUCAACCUCGGAACUGCCUCCUAAACUCCUGGUCUUGAGUUCGAGAGAGGUGAGUGGAAUUCCAAGUGU